UACGGAGGGUGCAAGCGUUAUCCGGAAUCACUGGGUUUAAAGGGUGCGUAGGCGGCUUGAUAAGUCAGAGGUGAAAGCCUUCCGCUUAACGGAAGAACUGCCUUUGAUACUGUCGAGCUUGAAAGAGGUUGAGGUUAGCGGAACGUGACAUGUAGCGGUGAAAUGCAUAGAUAUGUCACAGAACACCAAUUGCGAAGGCAGCUGACUGGACCUACUUUGACGCUGAGGCACGAAAGCGUGGGGAGCGAACAGG
This 253-nucleotide ribosomal RNA is filed under the name uncultured bacterium. RNAcentral's name for it is "partial 16S ribosomal RNA". It matches the Rfam family "Bacterial small subunit ribosomal RNA", at positions 524 to 776 of the family's 1533-position model. The record is from RNAcentral.